This 305-nucleotide long non-coding RNA is filed under the name Cavia porcellus (domestic guinea pig). Its description in RNAcentral is "lncRNA (ENSCPOG00000031328.1)". The record is from RNAcentral. Lineage: Eukaryota; Metazoa; Chordata; Mammalia; Rodentia; Caviidae.
UUGCUUCUUUAGAUACCCGGCUCCCGGGAAGAAAUCCAGUGGUGGAAUUUCUAGGCUGACAGAGGGGGAAGAUCUCAGGAACUCUGGAAAACAUUUCCUGAGCAGUUGGAAGCAUGGUCUUCUGCACGUGAGCCUCCGGGACAGGCCAGCUUGGCUGGCCUCUGCAGCAUAGUGGAAGCCACCUCCACCCGUGUCAGAUGCUGCUUCAGAUCAGCGAGCUCAUGGUCUUGGCAAAGGCUCAUAGCACCCCUUCCAGGUAAGACCAUUGUUACCCUCAUUUAAGAGCUGGGGAAACCGAGGCCCUA